This 508-nucleotide ribosomal RNA is filed under the name uncultured bacterium. RNAcentral describes it as "partial 16S ribosomal RNA". It matches the Rfam family "Bacterial small subunit ribosomal RNA", at positions 28 to 523 of the family's 1533-position model. The record is from RNAcentral.
GAUGAACGCUAGCUACAGGCUUAACACAUGCAAGUCGAGGGGAAACGACAUCGAAAGCUUGCUUUUGAUGGGCGUCGACCGGCGCACGGGUGAGUAACGCGUAUCCAACCUGCCCAUCACUUGGGGAUAACCUUGCGAAAGUAAGACUAAUACCCAAUGAUAUCUCUAGAAGACAUCUGAAAGAGAUUAAAGAUUUAUAGGUGAUGGAUGGGGAUGCGUCUGAUUAGCUUGUUGGCGGGGUAACGACCCACCAAGGCGACGAUCAGUAGGGGUUCUGAGAGGAAGGUCCCCCACAUUGGAACUGAGACACGGUCCAAACUCCUACGGGAGGCAGCAGUGAGGAAUAUUGGUCAAUGGGCGAGAGCCUGAACCAGCCAAGUAGCGUGCAGGAAGACGGCCCUAUGGAUUGUAAACUGCUUUUAUAAGGGAAUAAAGUGAGUCUCGUGAGACUUUUUGCAUGUACCUUAUGAAUAAGGACCGGCUAAUUCCGUGCCAGCCGCCGCGGUAA